This 75-nucleotide transfer RNA is filed under the name Clostridiales bacterium. Its description in RNAcentral is "tRNA-Glu". It matches the Rfam family "tRNA". From Rfam's summary of the family: Transfer RNA (tRNA) molecules are approximately 80 nucleotides in length. Their secondary structure includes four short double-helical elements and three loops (D, anti-codon, and T loops). Lineage: Bacteria; Bacillati; Bacillota; Clostridia; Eubacteriales. The record is from RNAcentral.
GGCCCGUUGGUCAAGCGGUCAAGAUACCGCCCUCUCACGGCGGUGACGGGGGUUCGAUUCCCCCACGGGUCACCA